RNAcentral lists this ribosomal RNA (462 nucleotides) under Triticum aestivum (bread wheat). RNAcentral describes it as "partial small subunit ribosomal RNA". The record is from RNAcentral. Lineage: Eukaryota; Viridiplantae; Streptophyta; Magnoliopsida; Poales; Poaceae.
AUGUCCGGAGCGGGAGGCAAGUGGAUGGUCUCCUCCGGCACGGAGGGGCAUAUCCAGAAGCUGAGCAGCGCCGGAUACCUGUCCAGCGACAUCGCGCAUCGGCUCCCCGAAGAGGGAGAGCUCAUCCCCACCCCUAGGCCCCAUGAGAGGGUAGUAUUCCUUCCCCAUUUUCUCCGCGGACUAGGCUUCCCACUUCAUCCCUUUGUCCGGGGGCUCAUGUUCUAUUAUGGCCUAGAUUUCCAUGAUCUGGCCCCGAAUUUUAUUCUCGACAUCUCGGCGUUUAUCGUCGUGUGCGAGGCCUUCCUCUGCAUCCGGCCCCACUUUGGCUUGUGGCUCAAGACCUUCAGUGUCAAGCCGAAGGUUGUGAAGGGCAGCCAAGCGGAGUGCGGAGGCGCCAUGGUGGGCAGGAUGUCCCAUGUUACGUGGCUGGAGGGCACCUUUGUGGAAACCAUCAAGGGGUAG